RNAcentral lists this ribosomal RNA (253 nucleotides) under uncultured bacterium. RNAcentral's name for it is "partial 16S ribosomal RNA". It matches the Rfam family "Bacterial small subunit ribosomal RNA", at positions 524 to 776 of the family's 1533-position model. The record is from RNAcentral.
UACGUAGGGUACGAGCGUUGUCCGGAAUUAUUGGGCGUAAAGAGCUCGUAGGCGGUCUGUCGCGUCGGGAGUGAAAACUCGGGGCUUAACCCCGAGCGUGCUUCCGAUACGGGCAGACUGGAGGGAUGCAGGGGAGAAUGGAAUUCCUGGUGUAGCGGUGGAAUGCGCAGAUAUCAGGAGGAACACCGAUGGCGAAGGCAGAUCUCUGGGCCGUAACUGACGCUGAGGAGCGAAAGCAUGGGGAGCGAACAGG